Molecule: ribosomal RNA, 492 nt
Filed under: uncultured bacterium
Lineage: Bacteria
Description: partial 16S ribosomal RNA
Rfam family: Bacterial small subunit ribosomal RNA
Source: RNAcentral
AGUGAACGCUGGCGGUAGGCCUAACACAUGCAAGUCGAACGGCAGCACAGUAAGAGCUUGCUCUUACGGGUGGCGAGUGGCGGACGGGUGAGGAAUACAUCGGAAUCUACUUUUUCGUGGGGGAUAACGUAGGGAAACUUAGGCUAAUACCGCAUACGACCUACGGGUGAAAGCAGGGGUUCUUCGGACCUUGCGCGAUUGAAUGAGCCGAUGUCGGAUUAUCUAGUUGGCGGGGUAAAGGCCCACCAAGGCGACGAUCCGUAGCUGGUCUGAGAGGAUGAUCAGCCACACUGGAACUGAGACACGGUCCAGACUCCUACGGGAGGCAGCAGUGGGGAAUAUUGGACAAUGGGCGCAAGCCUGAUCCAGCCAUACCGCGUGGGUGAAGAAGGCCUUCGGGUUGUAAAGCCCUUUUGUUGGGAAAGAAAAGCAGCAGGUUAAUACCCCGCUGUUCUGACGGUACCCAAAGAAUAAGCACCGGCUAACUUCGUG